This 1092-nucleotide ribosomal RNA is filed under the name Dolosigranulum pigrum. Its description in RNAcentral is "bacterial SSU rRNA". It matches the Rfam family "Bacterial small subunit ribosomal RNA", at positions 453 to 1533 of the family's 1533-position model. Lineage: Bacteria; Bacillati; Bacillota; Bacilli; Lactobacillales; Carnobacteriaceae. The record is from RNAcentral.
GCUAGGUAACUACUAGCGCCUUGACGGUAUCUAACCAGAAAGUCACGGCUAACUACGUGCCAGCAGCCGCGGUAAUACGUAGGUGACAAGCGUUGUCCGGAUUUAUUGGGCGUAAAGGGAGCGCAGGCGGUCUGUUUAGUCUAAUGUGAAAGCCCACGGCUUAACCGUGGAACGGCAUUGGAAACUGACAGACUUGAAUGUAGAAGAGGAAAAUGGAAUUCCAAGUGUAGCGGUGGAAUGCGUAGAUAUUUGGAGGAACACCAGUGGCGAAGGCGAUUUUCUGGUCUAACAUUGACGCUGAGGCUCGAAAGCGUGGGGAGCGAACAGGAUUAGAUACCCUGGUAGUCCACGCCGUAAACGAUGAGUGCUAAGUGUUGGGGGCUUUCCGGCCCUCGGUGCUGGAGCUAACGUAUUAAGCACUCCGCCUGGGGAUUACGACCGCAAGGUUGAAACUCAAAAGAAUUGACGGGGACCCGCACAAGCGGUGGAGCAUGUGGUUUAAUUCGAAGCAACGCGAAGAACCUUACCAGCUCUUGACAUCUUCUGACAACUCUAGAGAUAGAGCGUUCCCUUCGGGGACAGAAUGACAGGUGGUGCAUGGUUGUCGUCAGCUCGUGUCGUGAGAUGUUGGGUUAAGUCCCGUAACGAGCGCAACCCUUGUUGUUAGUUGCCAGCAUUAAGUUGGGCACUUUAACGAGACUGCCGGUGAUAAACCGGAGGAAGGCGGGGAUGACGUCAAAUCAUCAUGCCCCUUAUGAGCUGGGCUACACACGUGCUACAAUGGAUGGUACAACGAGCAGCGAUCCCGCAAGGGCUAGCUAAUCUUUCAAAGCCAUUCUCAGUUCGGAUUGCACUCUGCAACUCGAGUGCAUGAAGUCGGAAUCGCUAGUAAUCGCGAAUCAGAAUGUCGCGGUGAAUCCGUUCCCGGGUCUUGUACACACCGCCCGUCACACCACGAGAGUUUGAAACACCCGAAGUCGGCCGGCCAACCCUAUGGGAGGCAGCCGUCGAAGGUGGGUUGAAUGAUUGGGGUGAAGUCGUAACAAGGUAGCCGUAUCGGAAGGUGCGGCUGGAUCACCUCCUUUCUAAGGA